GAACGCAGAAAAAUGGCAAACGGGCAAAAAGCUACGUGUCUCUCUGGUAGAUGGGCACAAAGGGGUGGUUCCUAUGACAUGAGUUAGCCAACCACCUUAGGGGAGGCCCCAGCCCCUGGCAAAUGCUCCUCUUGACAGGGUGCCAUUGGCAUCUCUCCAGGGGCAGAGAUGGGGGUCUCCCACCCCGCCCCCUUCCAGUGAUCACUCAUCAUCCCCACAGCAGGGUCAGAAGAUCUCGAAUCAAGGGGAGCACCUGGGGAUGCUUAGAGAUGAACAGCAAAGAGAACCGGUUACAGGAGACCUCAAGAUUUCCGCCAGAGUUAUACUGGGGACAACUGCCAUAUCUGUUAGGCGUGCUGUUAACAGGGGCCACUGGGCAUGGCUGUAUGGGACAAAGACCAGGAAGCCCCGGCAGGGCCAGGCAGCGGUCUCCAGCACCUGCCUCUCCCUCAGGACAACCACUUCCAGCCCUUCUGCACUUGGGACGGGCGGGGCUCGGGGGAAGCCAGUCCUGCAGGAGAUGCCCAGCAGCUCUGCUGAACCAAGCUGAUCAUUACCGUGACACAGCAAGACGGUGGUGAACCCCACCCGGGGACCUUCCCUCCCUCCUGGAAGAUCCUGCUCGGGUUUUUCCCAGAAUCAUUCCCUCAGCAGUCCCACCCACACCCUCGUCUUUAGCUCUUCAUUUUGUCUCCACGUUACAGCCCCACUAAGCUUAGCACCCCUCAGGGAAGGCGCACUGGGCCAAGUAAGAAAACCUGAGCAAGAUCCCUUGUGUGCCUCAGUUUCCCCCUCUGGAGAUAAGCCCGUAGGUACCUGCCACUCAAUUUGAGAACUCCUUUCUAGGGUUCUCCAACUGGCUUAUUCAGGAAUAGACUCACCCUGGAAAGACCCAGGACCGAAAGUGGCUUAGGAGCUCGAGCUGGUGGGUAAUGCCAAGCCAUCAGGGACACCCGGGCCAAUCUGGCGGCCUCCCAAGGGAGCCGAGCACACCUGGGACAUGACUAAAGAAGGAGACCCCCGAGAGCGGCGUGCACAACACCGCUGCCCUCCGAGCCGCAGUGGGGGUGGCCCAUCCUACCCAGCGCCCUCAAAGUUUGCAGCUUCAGGCCCACUCUAGGCCCGCGACUUUGCCUCGGGAAAGCACGUGAAGACGGGCACGGCCACAAGCUGGUGCUCCAGCCCCCCCCCCCCCCCCUCGCCCGGGUCAGAGCACCCACUGCUGGCUGCCGUACCUUCCUCCUUCACCCGGCUCUCCCUGACAUAACACACGCAUACACCAUGACAGGCAGAAUUUUAAAAACUGUUCUUUUAUUCAAUUCCCCCAAACAAACGAACAAACGAAAGAAGCCCCCAACACCCUCUACCCUCCAAGAACCCUUACCUAAAUAAAAAUGUCCCAUUAGAGUUCUUUUCCA
This 1418-nucleotide long non-coding RNA is filed under the name Vombatus ursinus (common wombat). RNAcentral's name for it is "lncRNA (ENSVURG00010024775.1)". The record is from RNAcentral. Lineage: Eukaryota; Metazoa; Chordata; Mammalia; Diprotodontia; Vombatidae.